UUGGAGGGCAAGUCUGGUGCCAGCAGCCGCGGUAAUUCCAGCUCCAAUAGCGUAUAUUAAAGUUGUUGCAGUUAAAAAGCUCGUAGUUGAAUUUCGGGGUUAGUAGGUUGGUCAUGCCUCUGGUGUGUACUGGUCUCACUGAUUCCUCCUUCCUGAUGAGCCGUACUGCCAUUAAUUUGGUGCUGCGGGGAAUUUGGACUGUUACUUUGAAAAAAUUAGAGUGUUUAAAGCAAGCUAACGCUUGAAUACAUUAGCAUGGAAUAAUGAAAUAGGACGUUCGAUCCUAUUUUGUUGGUUUCUAGGAUUGACGUAAUGAUUAAUAGGGAUAGUUGGGGGCAUUAGUAUCAAUUGUCAGAGGUGAAAUUCUUGGAUUUAUUGAAGACUAACUACUGCGAAAACAUUCGCCAAGGAUGUUUUCAUUAAUCAAGAACGAAAGUUAGGGGAUCGAAGACGAUCAGAUACCGUCGUAGCCUUAACCAUAAACUAUGCCGACUAGGGAUCGGAUGAUGUUAAUUUUUUAAUGACUCAUUCGGCGCCUUACGGGAAACCAAAGUGUUUGGGUUC
RNAcentral lists this ribosomal RNA (564 nucleotides) under uncultured Glomeromycotina. Its description in RNAcentral is "SSU rRNA". It matches the Rfam family "Eukaryotic small subunit ribosomal RNA", at positions 548 to 1114 of the family's 1831-position model. The record is from RNAcentral. Lineage: Eukaryota; Fungi; Glomeromycota.